Felis catus (domestic cat) is the source of this 428-nucleotide long non-coding RNA. RefSeq lists it as uncharacterized. The transcript is spliced from 2 exons. The record is from RefSeq and is a predicted model, not a curated record. Lineage: Eukaryota; Metazoa; Chordata; Mammalia; Carnivora; Felidae.
UCACACAACCAACCAAAGGACAUUCAAACACACCACACCUCUGCCGCAUCACCACACAGCUGCUGCAGACAUGCACCCACCCACCCAUCCAUUUCAGCAUCACAUCACAGACUAGGGGGUCAGUGACCUCACGGCCGCAUGGUGCCUUACCCGACCGAUAGCGCUCAUCUCGUGACCCUGAGGACCUUCGGCGGUGAUAGCGAGUGGAAGAGGCAGGAGUGACUGGAGCCCGGCGCUCAGGAGGCAAAGCUUGAUCCACCCCUGGGUUAAGGGAAACAGCAAAAGACCCUCCUGGUGGAUCCCCUCCUGUUCUAACCCCAGCUGGCUGGUCCACACCUGCUGCAUAACCACCAGGGAGCACUCCUACCUCCAGAACUUGCUUUCGCCUAGAAGACUAAGCAAGAUCAUGUAUAAAUUUGAAAUCUUGA